Molecule: ribosomal RNA, 348 nt
Filed under: Salmonella enterica subsp. enterica serovar Schwarzengrund
Lineage: Bacteria; Pseudomonadati; Pseudomonadota; Gammaproteobacteria; Enterobacterales; Enterobacteriaceae
Description: bacterial SSU rRNA
Rfam family: Bacterial small subunit ribosomal RNA
Source: RNAcentral
AAAUUGAAGAGUUUGAUCAUGGCUCAGAUUGAACGCUGGCGGCAGGCCUAACACAUGCAAGUCGAACGGUAACAGGAAGCAGCUUGCUGCUUUGCUGACGAGUGGCGGACGGGUGAGUAAUGUCUGGGAAACUGCCUGAUGGAGGGGGAUAACUACUGGAAACGGUGGCUAAUACCGCAUCACGUCGCAAGACCAACGAGGGGGACCUUCGCGCCUCUUGCCAUCAGAUGUGCCCAGAUGGGAGUAGCUUGUUGGUGAGGUAACGGCUCACCCAGGCGACGAUCCCUAGCUGCACUGAGAGGAUGACCAGCCACACUGGAACUGAGACACGGUACAGACACCUACGGG